Molecule: ribosomal RNA, 914 nt
Filed under: uncultured bacterium
Lineage: Bacteria
Description: bacterial SSU rRNA
Rfam family: Bacterial small subunit ribosomal RNA
Source: RNAcentral
AGAGUUUGAUCAUGGCUCAGGAUGAACGCUAGCGGGAGGCUUAACACAUGCAAGUCGAGGGCAGCACGGUCCAACGCAAGAAGGACUGGUGGCGACCGGCGCACGGGUGAGUAACGCGUAUGCAACCUACCCGUACUGGAGAAUAACCCGGAGAAAUUCGGACUAAUACUCCAUAACGAUAUAGAGAGGCAUCUUUUUAUAUUUAAAGCUCUGGCGGUACGGGCCGGGCAUGCGUAACAUUAGCUAGUUGGCAGGGUAACGGCCUACCAAGGCAACGAUGUUUAGGGGUCCUGAGAGGGUGAUCCCCCACACUGGUACUGAGACACGGACCAGACUCCUACGGGAGGCAGCAGUGAGGAAUAUUGGUCAAUGGGCGCAAGCCUGAACCAGCCAUCCCGCGUGAAGGAAGACGGCGCUAUGCGUUGUAAACUUCUUUUCCAGGGAAAUAAAAUCAGGUACGUGUACCGGAUUGAAGGUACCCUGGGAAUAAGCAUCGGCUAACUCCGUGCCAGCAGCCGCGGUAAUACGGAGGAUGCAAGCGUUAUCCGGAUUUAUUGGGUUUAAAGGGUGCGUAGGCGGGAAAAUAAGUCAGUGGUGAAAUCCUACAGCUUAACUGUAGAAUUGCCGUUGAUACUGUUUUUCUUGAGUAUGGUCAAGGAAGGCGGAAUGUGUAAUGUAGCGGUGAAAUGCUUAGAUAUUACACAGAACACCAAUUGCGAAGGCAGCUUUCUGGCCCAUUACUGACGCUGAGGCACGAAAGCGUGGGGAUCGAACAGGAUUAGAUACCCUGGUAGUCCACGCCGUAAACGAUGAUCACUAGCUGUUGGCGAUAUACUGUCAGCGGCAAAGCAAAAGCAUUAAGUGAUCCACCUGGGGAGUACGGCCGCAAGGCUGAAACUCAAAGGAAUUGACGG